This is a small nuclear RNA of Cynocephalus volans (Philippine flying lemur), 102 nucleotides long. NCBI's taxonomy places the organism in Eukaryota, Metazoa, Chordata, Mammalia, Dermoptera, Cynocephalidae. The record is from RefSeq and is a predicted model, not a curated record.
AUGCUUUGGCAGCACAUAUACUAAAAUUGGAACAUACAGAGAAGAUUAGCAUGGCCCCUGCACAAGGAUGACAUGCAAAUUCAUAAAGUGUUCCAUAAUUUU